ACAGCAAUGCCACUCUUGCUGCAAACAUUGGGAUCAGCCGUGACUAUCCCAUAACAUAAUAUUUCUGAUUUCAUUCUUUUCCUUUCUCCUACCAAUUUAAUCUGCAAUCACUUCAAGAGAAGUCUGUUUAAAGGAUAUUCACAUUCUGUUCACAGAGUUUGAGAGAAACUGUAUUCAAGUUGCUGAAACCAAGAAGCUACACUCACGAGUCUCACCUAAACUCGAAUCUGAUUUAGAUGACAUCAUCCUGGACUUUGAGUUGAUGAAACCUUGGAGGUCUUGGGAGUAAAGCAAGUGUGAUUUGCAUAUGAUGGAUAUGAAUUGUAAUGGCCAGAGCAUGGCUGUGAGAUGAAAACUCCCAUUUUAGGGAACCAAGACUGAAUUCCAUAAUUUACAUGGAUGUUUGGAAGGUGUCUGCAACUUAAUCUGUGUUCGUUUCUGAGAUGUUGGGCAACUCCUUCUUGGAAGAUGUGGUAAUGGUCUCUUCGAAAAGAAAAUAAUCAUCUGAGUUUUGGCCAAAAUAGUUGAUCGGAUUACCUAUGAAAAUGACUCUCACCCAACUACAAGAAUGUUAUGAUGUAGAAACUCUAAAUAUAUGAGUAAUUAACUAUACAACACUCCAUCCCCAUGUGAAAAUCUUUAAUCUUUUAAGAUACUGAAAUUUUGUGUAUGUCUCAUAAUUUUCUGUAUAUGGUCAAUGAGUUUUGCCUUAGCCAUAAGUGGUCUGUCUGAAAUCUUCUCUAUUAUUUGUGCAUUUUCUUCCUGAUGUACCAAGCCUAGUCUGUUUGUUUUUUCCUAAGAGAAAAGCAGAUGAUUCAACUGUGUAUUUCUCAGUGUUGAUAUUGUGGUUUGAGGUAUUUCAUAAUCUUGAGUAAAAUCUUGUCAAUUUUAUGCUAUGCCUUGUGGGAACAUAUUUUUACUUUUAAGUCUCUUUGGCAAGUGGAGCUUCCUUUGUGUUUCCUCACCAAAUGUAUUCCCCAUUGUUUUCUGAUUAAUUCUUUUUCAGAAUGUUUACUCCUUCUUACCUCAAUGUCAUUACUUUUCAGUCUUGGCUUUGGGUAAACCUAGGACAAGAAUUGGAUAUCCAAAGCCAAUUUCAAUAUAAAAACUAUAAUAUCUAUCAAAAUCUAUGUAAAAUCCUGUGUAUAUUUCUCUUCUUUGUUGAACAGGGGCUUAUAAUCAUGUAGGUAAAUACACGUGGUUUUGAUUUCAGCACUGAUUACUGAAGAUUUGUCUUCCAUUCUUCUGGGCCAGGCCCAUACACAACCAUAGUUAGAAGUAAAAACUAUUUGUUAUACCUGGAAUGCCUUUCCUUUCAAUCUCUGAAUGUCUAAAAUUACUUUUUCUUUGAAGACCACCUCAGGUGACCCUACUGUGGGGAAAAUGCCUGAAUUAUCUUUGUAAUCCCAGCUCAGCCACUUAAAGAUUGUGUAAGUUUAGUGUCAGCAUAUUACUUAAGUUCUUUUAGAUUUAGUUUCCUCAUAUGUAAGCUGGGGAUAAUAAUACCUACCUCAUAGAAAAUGAAUGAGAAUCAAGUUAUAUAAUAUAUGAACAACACUUGACACUGUGUGUGAACACUCAAUACAUGUAAAUCAUUAUUAUUAGCAAAAUGAUUAUUAGGUUCUCAUGCUAAUCCACAAUUUUUAUUGGCAGAUAUCCAUUAGUUUAUAGUUAAUGUUAUUCAUAAUCUUUUCUUCAUAUUCAAAUAGGAAGAGAUGACUUCUCAAUCUAGUUAAUCCUGGAUGUGUAUUUCUCUUAAUUUAUUGAGUGUAAAAUGCUUAUUUAUAUACAUACAAUUUCCCUUAUUAGUGAACAUCUAGAAGGCAGAAUGGUACUUCAUUUCUUUCUGUAUGUUUAGCACCAAGGACAGUACCUGGCACAUAGAAGAUACAUAUUAAAAACAAAUAAAACAACUCUUAAUGGAUCUCAUUUUAAAAAAAUUCUCGGUUAAUUAUAAAGGCUCUAGUAAACCAAAUAAUUGUAUGUUAACUUAUUUACUUUUAUUACUGUGUUUAUUUUCUCCAACUGCUUCAUCAUACAAAGUAAACACCUGAAUGUAAGCUGCAUGAGGGCAAGAGCUGUGUCUUGUUUACUGCUCUCAAGAACAUUUGAGCAAAGUGCCUGGCACAUGGCAGACACUCAAUAAGUUACAAUUAAUACUCAAUGUAUGAACUGAUCUAUACUUAGAAUUGACUAAGAAGAAUAAGUCUUACACAGACUCAGUCUCUGAGAACUUGAAAAUCUAAGUUUGCAUAUCUCUGCUGUUGUGUUUUCAGGUUACUCAGUAGAAAACCAAGUUAUUUACACAUCCUCAAGUGUCUCAAGGUUAAAUCUUCCAUGCAUAAAAUAUCUGGGCGAUUGAUUGUGUUUCUUACUUUGCUCCUAAGUAUGUUAGCAUCAUAUAGGCAUAGCCUAAGCCAGACCAAAAUGAAUUCAUUGAUUGACUCAACAAAUGUUUAUGGAUCUCAGAUAUUAUAUGGAGAUGGUGUCAAACAACGGGAUGUGCUAUGGAAUUUGAUGUGGAGGCUGAAGGAAAGAGGAAUCUAGGCGGACUCACAGAUUUUUUGGCUUGAGUAACUUGGACAUUAUGGUGAGUUAUUGAACGGAAGUCUAGGGAUUGUUCAACCCCUGAAAACAGACCACAUCCCAUUGCAGGAGGAAAUUUGG
RNAcentral lists this long non-coding RNA (2667 nucleotides) under Homo sapiens (human). RNAcentral describes it as "HSALNT0142870". The record is from RNAcentral. Lineage: Eukaryota; Metazoa; Chordata; Mammalia; Primates; Hominidae.